Zophobas morio is the source of this 307-nucleotide long non-coding RNA. RefSeq lists it as uncharacterized. The transcript is spliced from 2 exons. The record is from RefSeq and is a predicted model, not a curated record. Lineage: Eukaryota; Metazoa; Arthropoda; Insecta; Coleoptera; Tenebrionidae.
CGUCAUAAACUCACAAAGUUUGACUUUUCACUUUGCUGUCAGUGAACAUGUACAUAAGUGAAAAAGAAAUAGUUUUCGUAACACUAUGUUGUUGUAUUGGAUAUUUUCUUUUCCGAGGGAGAUUUUGAAGCCCUAAACUGGGAAAAUCCACGUUUUGUCAAAUUUUUUUAUCCUGUGUGACAGAAUCCCAGUGUCCAGAAAUGUUAAUUCAAAACAUAAAAUUCGUUAUGAAGAAAAAUAUUUAAAAUUUACUUUUGCUGUGUACAAUGGGUUGAAGUGUUCAGAAUAAAGAGAAGAGUUAACACGU